GUGAGUUCUUUAUUCCAUUAAUGUACUGUAGGUGUCCAGUAGCUGUGUACUCAGGCAGUUCUUUAUUCCAUUAAUGUACUGUAGGUGUCCAGUAGCUGUGUACUCAGGCAGUUCUUUAUUCCAUUAAUGUACUGUAGGUGUCCAGUAGCUGUGUACUCAGGCAGUUCUUUAUUCCAUUAAUGUACUGUAGGUGUCCAGUAGCUGUGUACUCAGGCAGUUCUUUAUUCCAUUAAUGUACUGUAGGUGUCCAGUAGCUGUGUACUCAGGCAGUUCUUUAUUCCAUUAAUGUACUGUAGGUGUCCAGUAGCUGUGUACUCAGGCAGUUCUUUAUUCCAUUAAUGUACUGUAGGUGUCCAGUAGCUGUGUACUCAGGCAGUUCUUUAUUCCAUUAAUGUACUGUAGGUGUCCAGUAGCUGUGUACUCAGGCAGUUCUUUAUUCCAUUAAUGUACUGUAGGUGUACAGUAGCUGUGUACUCAGGCAGUUCUUUAUUCCAUUAAUGUACUGUAGGUGUCCA
Molecule: long non-coding RNA, 515 nt
Organism: Oncorhynchus keta (chum salmon)
Lineage: Eukaryota; Metazoa; Chordata; Actinopteri; Salmoniformes; Salmonidae
Exons: 3
Source: RefSeq, a predicted model, not a curated record